This 305-nucleotide ribosomal RNA is filed under the name Notiocoelotes maoganensis. Its description in RNAcentral is "partial 12S ribosomal RNA". The record is from RNAcentral. Lineage: Eukaryota; Metazoa; Arthropoda; Arachnida; Araneae; Agelenidae.
AAACUAUUUUAAUCUGGCGGCAUUCAAUUUAAUUAGAGGAAUUUGUCCUAUAAUCGAUAAUCCCCGUUAAAUUUCACUUUAUUUCAAAAUUUAUAUACCGCCAUUCCAAGAGCUAAUUUAAAAAUAUUUCUCCUAAUAAUAUAUAAAAAUUUAGGUCAAGGUGUAAUCUAUAUUAAAGAAUAAGAUGAAUUACAUUAAACACCAUUUAAAGAUUAUUCUUUAAAAAUUUAUAUUAAUAAGAAUUUAAAAGUAAUAUUUAAAACAUUAAUUUAAUAUGAUAAAACAAAAAUGUGUACACAUCGCCC